CGCUCAUAGCAAUAUGGGAGCGGCGAACGGCGUAGUAAGACGUAGGAACGUACCCUCGGGACGGGGAUAGCUAUGGGAAACUGUAGGUAAUACCCGACAAUCUCUGCGGAGCAAAGGUGUGAUUCCGCCUGGGGAGCGGCUUACGCGAUAUUAGCUAGUUGGUAGGGUAAUGGCCUACCAAGGCGAUGAUGUCUAGGGGGUGUGAGAGCAUGGCCCCCACGACCGGAACUGAGAUACUGUCCGGACACCUACGGGUGGCUGCAGUCGAGAAUCUUCCGCAAUGGACGAAAGUCUGACGGAGCGACGCCGCGUGCGGGAUGAAGGCCCUUGGGUUGUAAACCGCUGUCAGAGGGGAUGAAAUCUUCGGAGGUACUCCUCCGAAGUUGACAGAGCCUCAAAGGAAGCACGGGCUAAGUACGUGCCAGCAGCCGCGGUAACACGUACUGUGCGAACGUUAUUCGGAAUCACUGGGCUUAAAGGGUGCGUAGGCGGCGAUUCAAGUCAGAUGUGAAAUGCCUGAGCUCAACUGAGGCAUUGCGUUUGAAACUGAACCGCUAGAGUAUUUCAGGGGUGUGCGGAACUGCCAGUGGAACGGUGAAAUGUGUUGAUAUUGGCAGGAACACCGGAGGCGAAAGCGGCACACUGGGGAAUAACUGACGCUGAGGCACGAAAGCCAAGGGAGCGAACGGGAUUAGAUACCCCGGUAGUCUUGGCCGUAAACGAUGAGUACUGGGCGGGAGAGGGUUUCCCUUUUCUGCCGUAGCGAAAGCGUUAAGUACUCCGCCUGGGGAGUAUGGUCGC
This 801-nucleotide ribosomal RNA is filed under the name uncultured bacterium. RNAcentral describes it as "bacterial SSU rRNA". It matches the Rfam family "Bacterial small subunit ribosomal RNA", at positions 67 to 889 of the family's 1533-position model. The record is from RNAcentral.